This 690-nucleotide ribosomal RNA is filed under the name uncultured bacterium. RNAcentral's name for it is "bacterial SSU rRNA". It matches the Rfam family "Bacterial small subunit ribosomal RNA", at positions 59 to 761 of the family's 1533-position model. The record is from RNAcentral.
AAGCAGUUAAGAAGAUUCUUCGGAUGAUUCUUAACUGACUGAGCGGCGGACGGGUGAGUAACGCGUGGGUGACCUGCCCCAUACCGGGGGAUAACAGCUGGAAACGGCUGCUAAUACCGCAUAAGCGCACAGAGCUGCAUGGCUCGGUGUGAAAAACUCCGGUGGUAUGGGAUGGGCCCGCGUCUGAUUAGGCAGUUGGCGGGGUAACGGCCCACCAAACCGACGAUCAGUAGCCGGCCUGAGAGGGCGACCGGCCACAUUGGGACUGAGACACGGCCCAAACUCCUACGGGAGGCAGCAGUGGGGAAUAUUGCACAAUGGGGGAAACCCUGAUGCAGCGACGCCGCGUGAGCGAAGAAGUAUUUCGGUAUGUAAAGCUCUAUCAGCAGGGAAGAUAAUGACGGUACCUGACUAAGAAGCCCCGGCUAACUACGUGCCAGCAGCCGCGGUAAUACGUAGGGGGCAAGCGUUAUCCGGAUUUACUGGGUGUAAAGGGAGCGUAGACGGCAGGGCAAGUCUGAUGUGAAAACCCAGGGCUUAACCCUGGGACUGCAUUGGAAACUGUCUGGCUCGAGUGCCGGAGAGGUAAGCGGAAUUCCUAGUGUAGCGGUGAAAUGCGUAGAUAUUAGGAAGAACACCAGUGGCGAAGGCGGCUUACUGGACGGUAACUGACGUUGAGGCUCGAAAGCG